AACGCACAUUGCGCCCCUUGGUAUUCCGAGGGGCAUGCCUGUUCGAGCGUCAUUACAACCCUCAAGCACUGCUUGGUAUUGGGCUCCGCUGCUAACCCUGCGGGCCUUAAAAUCAGUGGCGGCGCCGUCUGGGCUCUGAGCGUAGUAAAUUUCCUCGCUAUAGAGACCUGGCGGUGGUAGCCAUCAACCCCCAACUUUCUAAGUUUGACCUCGGAUCAGGUAGGGAUACCCGCUGAACUUAA
Molecule: unclassified non-coding RNA, 242 nt
Filed under: uncultured fungus
Lineage: Eukaryota; Fungi
Description: sequence contains ITS2
Rfam family: 5.8S ribosomal RNA (bases 1-52)
Source: RNAcentral